UGAUGAUGAUGAUGAGUCACUAAUUAAUUGUAUCAUAGAGUCUUGCAUGGAAAAAUAGAAAAUGAGAUUGAGCCAAGGAUGACUUGCCGAUUUUCUCAACGAAUCUUACUGAUUAUGGUAUCCGGCAAGUUGACUUUGGCUCUGUUUCCUUCCCUUCUUUUCGAUGUCAAACUCUAGAUACCUAACCACAUAUCAUAUAUAUCAUCAUCAUUCAUCA
Molecule: non-coding RNA, 217 nt
Organism: Arabidopsis thaliana (thale cress)
Lineage: Eukaryota; Viridiplantae; Streptophyta; Magnoliopsida; Brassicales; Brassicaceae
Source: RefSeq